This 3857-nucleotide long non-coding RNA is filed under the name Gossypium raimondii (Peruvian cotton). RNAcentral's name for it is "long non-coding RNA (GRAI_LNC005926)". The record is from RNAcentral. Lineage: Eukaryota; Viridiplantae; Streptophyta; Magnoliopsida; Malvales; Malvaceae.
CUCCUUUGUGCAAGCCAAUUGGUAUUCAAUGCCAUCUUUUCGGUGGUUAUCAACUGCAAAAAGCUCGGUAUCCUAACGCUUAACUCGAUCAUCUUCAUUACCGUAUCAGCUUCAAUGGUUGCAAUUCAUCCCGACAGUUCUGAGACCAAAAGAGAUGAGAAAAAUCCAGUAAGAAAGAAUGAACAUACCAUUGGGUUUAUAUCAACAGUUGGUGCUUCUGCAGGCUAUGCUUUAUUGCUGUCUCUAACACAAUUCUCAUUUGACAAAAUACUGAAAAAGGACACAUUUAGUGUUGUGUUUGAAAUGCAGAUUUACACUUCAUUGGUUUCGAGUUUCGUUUGCUUGUUGGGGUUGUUUUUGAGUUUGGAAUUCAUGGAUUUAAAGUCCGAAAUGGAGAAAUUUGAUGAAGGGAAGGUGAUUUAUGUAGUGAGUUUGAUUGGAAUAGCUUUGGCAUGGCAGAUUUGUACAGUGGGAGUAGUGGGAUUGAUCUAUUUGGUGUCAUCUUUGUUCUCAAAUGUUGUGAGUAUGCUUAGUUUGCCAUUUGUUCCAGUUGUUGGUGUUCUGCUUUAUAAGGAGAAAAUGGAUGCAAUUAAGGUGUUGGCAAUGUUGUUCACUCUUUGGGGAUUUGCUUCUUAUAUCUACCAACAAUAUCUUGAUGAUAAAAAGUCAAAGAAAAAGGAAUCCCAAGAAAUCGAAGCUUCAAAAUCUGAAGUUUAACUUAAUUGAUUGAAGAUUCCAAAUCAAAGUAGUGGCUAUGUUUUUCACUCUUUAGGGUUUUUCUUCCUAUCUAGGAAUCCAAGGGAUCAAAGAUUCUUAUAUGCAUAUGUACAUGUCUACCAUACAUGUUGUAUGAAUAAAUAGUAAUUGUUUUUUUUUUAUAAGAAAAUCAAAAGGUUACUCUCUCUUCUCAUUUUCUAUUUUGUCCAAAUUAUAGAUAAAUACAAAAUAAUGAGUAUGGUUGUUUAGAUCUAAAAUUUAUAUUUUUAUAAAUAUUUUGAGGCUCAAAAUAUAUUUUCCCAAUUUUAAGUAUAAAAAUAUUACAAAUUUUAAAUAUGGAAAAUAAUUUAGAGGUGAAAGAUAUUGAGACUCAACUUACUUUUCUUUACCAUACCAUAUAAUUAAUGCCGUGGCUAAAUCUAUUGCUAAAGUAAGUUGGUGUGCUGAUAAAAUCAAGUUUAUGAGAGAUUAAUGAAAGUUUUAAGAUGUGUAUCAAUGCUACUUUCUUUAAGAUUCUAUUCCGUGCCAUCUAUAUUAUGAUGUGCAAAAGAGUUAUUGACAAAUGAACCUUGAGAAUAUAGCAAAGUCCAUUGACUGUUUACAUUUGCAUUGACGGAAACAAUCCUCUAAGCACUAAGCGAAACUUAGCAAUGAUACCAAUUUUUAUAAAAAAAAAUUCUGUUGUAGUUUUUAGGAGAGAGAAAGUAAAAGUACGUUCAGCUGGACGCACUUUCCCCAAGUUACAAUUUUUUUUAUUUUUUUAAUACAAUCAAUUUCUUUGGUUGAAUUAUUAUAUGUUGGUGGUUUUAUCUUUGAGUAUCAGGUUCAGUUCCUCUCCUAUUUCAUUUAUAUUUUAUAUUUCAUGUUGUUUUAAGCUUCUUUUGGUUUUUAAUGAAUAUUUUUAAUAUAUUAACUUCUUCAAUUAAAUAUAUAUUAAAUAAUAAUGAUUUCAAUUUUGAGACCUAGGUGUAAUUCUUCUUUUCUGAACACAUUCGUAAUUUUUAUUUCAUAUCAUUUCAAGUUUUUUUAAUUAAUAAAUAUAUUAUUUUUAAAAUUUUAAAAUUUAAAUUAUCUUUUUAAUUAAUAAAUUUUUAUUCAUAAAAUUAAAUAAUAAAUAUAUUUACUAAAAAUAAUUAUAUUUAUAAUAAUUAUUUUAUUUUAUAAAUACAAAUAUUUAAAUAUAUAUUUGUUGGUCACGGAUCCAAAUUAAAAAGAAAACUUAAAUACAUUUAAAAGAAUAAAGUAGAAAAGAAGCAAAAUUAAGAGUGAAUUUUAUUAAAAAAAAACUCUCCAAACAAAAUUGAUAAAUACAACUCUUCAAGUUGAAUCACUUAACUAAAUUAUUAAUAAAAACUAAAUUUUAUUGAUGAAUCGCAUGUUUACGAUCGGCAGUAUGCGUGGUUAUUUAUAUAACUGUUUAGGGGUCGAAUCUGCUUUAAAAAUAAGUGAGUUUAAUAAAAAUAUAGGUUUGAAAAAUAAAUUUAGAUAAAAAAUUAAAAUUUGUUUAAAUAAUAGGUCAGGCUUUAGGUAAAGCUUUUUCGGACUGAGCCCGGCCCAAAUAUGUAAAAAAAUUGCAGUUUUUUUAUUGUUAUUUUCUUGUUAUUUUUUCACUAUUUUGCUAUCCUAUCACAAUUAUGUUGUUAUUGUCUAAUUUUGUUUUAUUGUUAAUUUUGUUAUUAUUUUAGAGGCAUUUAUCUUAGUAUUAUUUAAGUAUACAUAUAUUUUUUUAAUUUAUUUUCAAUUUUUUGGGAAACAUAUAUUUUAAUGUUCUUAGAUUUUUUAUGUAUUUUUUUAAAAAAAAAUUAUAUGAACGGACUGCGUUUUAAUAUAUUUAUCCGAAUCGAACUUGGAAAAAAUUUUAGAUCCAUUUUUUAUGCCAAACCCAAAUCUAACAUAUGGACCCUAAAAUUUUAGUUAGGCACGACUAUAAACACCUCUAAUUAUUUAUAGCUAAAAUUCCCAGUAAGUUAAAUAUAAUUUACCAAAAAUUUCAGUUGAUUUACUUGUUAUAUUCACCAACUAAAUAAAUCAACAAAUAAAUCACGAAUUAUCCCUCUAAGCUCUAAGCUCUAAGCUCUAAGCUGCAAUAUGAACCUUCCAUCAAUUGUGUCUAGGUUCAGUCGUUUUAUUACAUAAAUAUUCUUAAUUAAAAAAAUAAGGAAAAAUGUAAUUUAUUCUAAUUAAUUAUUGAGCAAAAAUAAAUAAAAGAAAUUGCUAGAGCCUCCGUUUGUUCUUUCUUCAAUUUGAUGUUUAGACAAAUAUUUGAGUUGAGGUAAAUAAACACUUUAAUGCGGGAAGUAAAGAAAGAAGAGAAAUAAACACAAAUCCAAAGCAUGAGAAAAAGAGAUAAGUAAAGAGAGAUUCAAUACAUGAUAUUUGUUAAUGUAGUUUGGAUUUAUCAAUCUUACUUCUGCGAAGUCUUGCUCAAAAAAUAAAUUUAUUCAACAAUUUAUCAAGUAUAACUACGGGGUAAAGUACAUUUUCCUCUCUCACAAUAGAUAAUUACAACUGUAAAAAUCGGCUAUAUAGUCCGAACAAAAAUAUUGUAAUUUCUUCUCUUCUCCUCGGUUUUACGAACACUGGAAAUCAGAAAAACAAGAUAGAAAUAUUGAAAGGGUUGAUUUUGAUCUUAUUGUUUUCUCUUCGUUUUCCCUUUUUCAUUAUUUAUCUUUUUGUUUAUUUAUUAUUAUUAUUUUUUAAUAAAUCUGAUUUUUUUUAAAAAAACAAAAGAAAAGAAAGUACCUGGCAGAACCCGCGGUCGUCGUCGACAGUCCCUUCGGUCGCCGGAAUCGGACCGAGAAAGGGCGAAGGAGGUCCUUUUCCUUUGGCCUUUUAUGCCAAGAGGGCUCGGCCUUCGAACGGGGUGAAAACGGGGUUAAAAACCUGAUCUUUGAGGGCGCCGACCACCGCCUACGGUGGAGCCACGGCGGCCAAAGGCCUAGAAACCCGACGGUCGGAUUUGGGGAAGAAGAGAAGAGAGGGAGAGGGUUUCUAACAUUUUUUUUUAUUUUCUAAUGGCAGAAUGAUUUUUUUUAAAAAAUUUUUACCUUUAUAAGAGUUGCAAAACGACGCCGUUUAGCCCCCUCAGACCCAAUGCGCGACCCGACCCGCCUAGGGGAUCCGCGCGUUUCUGAUUAAGG